UACAGUUUGAUCCUGGCUCACAUUGAACGCUGGCGGCAUGCCUUACACAUGCAAGUCGAACGGUAACGCGGGGCAACCUGGCGACGAGUGGCGAACGGGUGAGUAAUGCAUCGGAACGUGCCCAGUAGUGGGGGAUAGCCCGGCGAAAGCCGGAUUAAUACCGCAUACGACCUAUGGGUGAAAGCGGGGGACCGUAAGGCCUCGCGCUAUUGGAGCGGCCGAUGUCAGAUUAGGUUGUUGGUGGGGUAAAAGCCUACCAAGCCGACGAUCUGUAGCUGGUCUGAGAGGACGACCAGCCACACUGGGACUGAGACACGGCCCAGACUCCUACGGGAGGCAGCAGUGGGGAAUUUUGGACAAUGGGGGCAACCCUGAUCCAGCCAUGCCGCGUGCGGGAAGAAGGCCUUCGGGUUGUAAACCGCUUUUGCCAGGGAAGAAACGCGCUGAGUUAACACCUCGGCGUAAUGACGGUACCUGAAGAAUAAGCACCGGCUAACUACGUGCCAGCAGCCGCGGUAAUACGUAGGGUGCAAGCGUUAAUCGGAAUUACUGGGCGUAAAGCGUGCGCAGGCGGCUUUGCAAGACAGAUGUGAAAUCCCCGGGCUCAACUGGGGAACUGCAUUUGUGACUGCA
Molecule: ribosomal RNA, 633 nt
Filed under: uncultured bacterium
Lineage: Bacteria
Description: bacterial SSU rRNA
Rfam family: Bacterial small subunit ribosomal RNA
Source: RNAcentral